This 1199-nucleotide long non-coding RNA is filed under the name Anser brachyrhynchus (Pink-footed goose). RNAcentral describes it as "lncRNA (ENSABRG00000020238.1)". Lineage: Eukaryota; Metazoa; Chordata; Aves; Anseriformes; Anatidae. The record is from RNAcentral.
CGGGGUUCUCGUGCCAGUCACAAGCAUUUCUUAUACUCCAAAACUGCCACCGGGCUCUAUUUUCUUCUCCACGGAGAGGUCAGCGCUGGCUCUCGUGCACUGGCACACAUUGCUUUUGUGUAAAAAGGGCAACAGGUGGCAAUGCUCGCCCCAAGGUCACAGGGAAAUACGUCUGCUGGUCACGUAGGUGGCCAGCAAACAUAAAACCCCGUUCGCGUUCUCAUCUCACCUAUGUGACAGGCAGCAGGUACUGUGCUAGGUGGAGUUGCGGCUCUCAUAAUAUGAGGAUUUGCUGACAGAAUUUCAAAAAACACACAUUUGGGGAAGAUGUUUUUUUUAGCUUUUAUUCGCUUGAAGUGAACACAGAGAAUAAGGACCCGGGGACAUUAGUGUGCAGUGCUGACAACAUUAGGGAAAAAAAAAGAAAAGCGAGAUUAAAAUAGACUUGCAGCUGAAAUUGUUCGUGGUUGAAACAUAUGAUUCGGCACAAAUCAUUGAGGAAUGCAGCAGAAAGCAGCUUGGCCUGACUUAGUUGUGAUGAACUGAAAACUACCUAAUCAGCACAGAUAGGGCAGCUUUUGCUCACUCGUUUUUGUGCUUGUGUUACCAACGGCACACCUACCAGGUUAAACAGGGCUCUUUUUACUAAAAGCAGCGUGUGUUGGCUAGGUGCCAGCACUCCCUCGAGCUAACCCCCAGACUUCCCAGCGCAUCUCAGCUGUGGUAAAAAGCUCUGCAUCCUACUGCUUCUCCUCUGGGACCUGACAUUAAAAAACUGCAAAUGUGCUCUUUCACGUUACAAGAGUGCAUAUGCAAACUUCCCUCUGCCCUCUCUGCAUAAUGCACCUCAACGGGCAUUAUCAUACGGAGUGUGGGCACAGCUCCACGCUGCCUUCAGCUGCAGCGCCCACCCUGCACAGCCUCACGCUGUGCACAUCCUUCGAGCUGGAGCGGAAAGGAGAGCAAUGUCACACCGCCUGCAUCCUCUGCAAGUCCCUCCAACCGAGCACAGGCUUGUCUUGAUCUGUCAGUGGGAACUGCUGAAGCCAAAAGGUAACUUUUUUUUAACAUUUUAAAAACGUGAGUUCAUUCGUUUUCAUUCAGUUUACUCGAUAUUCUCUUUUUUUCUGUUCAAAGGCUUGGAGAAUGCAACUUCCUCCCCACUCUUAUCUAAGCACAGAAGAAAAUCUUUUCAAAAC